AACAUACACAGAGCUCCUAUAUAUAUAUAUAUAUAUAUAUAUAUAUGGCCAAAAAAUAAAUCUUCAUAGCAACAAGAUUCUUGACCAUUCACAUCUUUAUCUCACAUUCAAAAGAAAGGGAAAAUCCAGUCUUAGUGUUACCACACAUAGACGUCAUUUUAAUUUGUCCCCAGAUGAUAUUACAUUAUUCAAGACAAAAUGGAAAUUGUUUUCACUGUAGUUCGUCUGAUAUUAUAGUAUCUAUAUGAAGUGAACCUGAAAACCUACCUCAGUUGCACAGGUAAGUACAAUUACUACAAGUACUAAGUAGUAUGCUUUUACAAAGUUUACAUUAGUUCCAGUUAUAGUAGAAUUUCUGAACAGACUUGAAUUCUCUCUAAGUAUAGCUUUGUAUCUAAAAUGCUAGACAUCUCAACCAUCUCUUGUAGUUUAAUAUGACUGGUAGAAAUACGUUUUUUCUUUGCCUGCUUCUGUGAUAUUUCUUAAAUGCCAGGUUUUAACAUAAUAAAUAUAAUGGGAGAAUGCUUCACUGCUAUAUUUUCUUUAGGUUAUUAGGAAACAAUAAAUCUGUCUAUGUUCAUAGAGUGGAAAAAAAAGCACUUGCUUUAUAUCAAAGUCUAGCCUGACCAGGACUUUCACUGAGUAACUUGGAAAGAUUUUAUGUUAUUUUUUUAUUACUCCUGGUUAUGAAGUUUUUGUUAAAUAUCUCAAAAAUGUAAAUGUACAGCUUUUCUCCCUCUCCCCCCCCACCUCAAGGCAUCUACAGUUGGUUUUUUUGGGGGGCAACUAUUAGGAUUAUGGAGAAUGACUAAGAAAAUUAAUUAAAAACAGAAUAUACACCAAGGGCUGUAAUUUAGGGCUGUAAUUUACAGCCCAUCAAGUUCAAAAUAUUUUCCUUAGCUCAGAACAUGUUCCACAUGUGUGUUAAACUCAAGAAAAUUAAAUUCAACCCUAUAUAUCAUAUUCCCCUUUUUCAUUAAAAUGUUAUUUAAAUGCUUUCGUUAAGUGGAGCGUUUAUUUAGACAUUAAAUGAAAUUAUGUUGAAAAUGUAAAUGAUCUAUUUGACACCAAAAGAGGAAAGAGGCGGUAACAGUUUUAAUUAAAAAUUCAAUCCUAGCAGAGUUCGCCCUCGUCAACUUAGAAAUAUAGCACGGACACUUUAUUAAAUUACAAAGUAUCUGGUUAAAAGCUAUCACUAUGUUAUGUGCUAAAUGAUCUGUUUCCAUGCUAGAUCCAGUUUCUACACCAAUUGGUGGAAAAACUCUGACUCCAGAAGGUAUCAGUUCUGAUUUAUCACUGCAGUUUUCUCAAAGGGAUAAAGUCAUUCAGAUGGGCUUGCUUGCUGGUCUGGCUACAUGGAUCUACAAGGAAUAAAGCUGAACAUGGCAUACACAGAGGGAUUGUAUGGGAACUGCUGAGUCAUGGCCUGAACCUCUGAUUGAUCACCUAAGGCGAGCCAUGAGUCAGCCAGAGGAGCACAGGUGAAGGGAAUUCAUCUGUGCUGCCAGAAGAGGUGGAGCCAGGCUCCAGCCCUCCUAGACCUAUUUAAGAGCUGGCUACCAGUGGGGAAGGAUCUCUUCUGGGGAUUGCCUCUUCUGGUGUUUUGUGGUGAGUCCAGCAUAAGGAUAAGACACUAGAAAUUCAACCUGGGGUAUGGAGUAUGCAUAUCUGGUGUACCUGAGAACUAUCCGAAAAUGAAAGAAAAUCCCUUUGGUGCGAACAAUAUGAAAAGUCUGGUUGUGUUAUUAUAUCUCCUCAGAAAGUAUCAAGAAAUUCUAGAACUGCUGUGAACCCUCCUCAUAUCUACAAGCACUCACCCCAUUGCUCCUGCUUUGUAUCAGUGGAAUACAGAACAAAGACAUUCCCUCUUUUUCCACAGCAGUUUCCUUGUCCUCUUAUACUGGGCAACAGUCAUCAAAAAUGAAUUUUUCUGAAAACUUUCAAAGUCUGUUUCUUUGUUAUGCUUUUUCCAUCUCUUACAUAUUUACUAUUAAUGCUUGCUGGCAAAUGGCUUAUUUGGUGAGGUUGUUUUCACAGAAUUUCUGUGUUUAGAAGCGCAAAAAAUGGUGAUGAUGUAAAAGAAAGCACUGAAGCCUCUAUUUCUGUAUAUUAUUGCUGUAAUUGUUAUUGUAAAAUACAGGAAGAACAAAAACAUGAAUUAUGUUUCUGGUAGUUAUAUUCUCACCAUAGUCUGCAUGUAUGGUUCUUUACUGCAAUAAAAGAACUCAGAAAAUGAAGCUUGUGGGAAACUGGAUUGGAAGGAAGGGGGUAAGGAAUAAGCUGCUCCAAGCAAAAUAUUUUCAUGUAUAUUCAGGGUAUACAGGAAAAUACUGUAGUAACAGUUACAGAUCAUUUUAGCAUUAAGUUCAUCUAGAGCUUCUACUUAUGAAGGUUGUUGGGGAGGAAUAUUUCAGCUACAUAUAAUGAUGAUGCUCAAUUCAGGUUUAUGUAAUGGGCUGAGACAGGAGAGAGUAUGCCAGCCUUUUGCAUUUGACAAGUAAGGAACUUCCAUUAUCUAACUAGAACUACAUUUUCUGUAGCUGUGAAAUCUCACCACUGGCAGAGGUUAUUUGCUAUUUGCACUGCUUUAAAGUGCUAUCAAAAUUUUGUUCUUUUCAUUGUGGAGAAGAUAGAUUAUUAAAUAAUUAGGUUUUUAACAAUCUUUUCAUAUGUGAACUGAAAACAAGAA
Long non-coding RNA from Lagopus muta (rock ptarmigan), 2689 nucleotides. RefSeq lists it as uncharacterized. The transcript is spliced from 3 exons. The record is from RefSeq and is a predicted model, not a curated record. NCBI's taxonomy places the organism in Eukaryota, Metazoa, Chordata, Aves, Galliformes, Phasianidae.